This 1009-nucleotide long non-coding RNA is filed under the name Ficedula albicollis (Collared flycatcher). Its description in RNAcentral is "lncRNA (ENSFALG00000023791.1)". The record is from RNAcentral. Lineage: Eukaryota; Metazoa; Chordata; Aves; Passeriformes; Muscicapidae.
GGAUAAUUUAACAGCACCUUCCCCUCUCAAGUAUUUCUUUUCUUGAAUAGAUUAUUAGACAGCAAGGGUUGAGGAUACAAACCUUGAAUCAUGAAAGCAUGUGUACAUGCUGAGGAGGUAUUACAAUGAAUUAUAAGCACUGGUAAUAGUUCAGAAUCCAAAGGGCUGGUGACCUUUGCUUUUAAAAACAUGCCCUAAAUGUUAUCAUUCUACAGCACCGUCUUCUCUGCUCUAUCUCCUAAAUGCUUUUGGACACACAGACCAUGGGAUUAAUUAUAUACUGCAAGCAACAAUUCAUGAAUAUUUAACACCCUCAUUUAUACUUAAUGAAUAAAUUUGCAUUUUGACAGUGUUAUUUAAUGCGGUUUAAGGAAAAACUGCUCAUUACCUUUCAAUUUUGUAGAUUAGGAGAAUGUAAUUGGAAUGAUAAGGUAGGAGAGAGGCUGCAUGAUUGUUUCACACGCGCCACGGGCUGGCCGUCUGCCUGGCGCUCACCACCAUGUGCACCAGCUUGUUGCUCAUGUACGGCGGCAUCGGCAUCGGCGGGGGCCGCCCGGAGCCGCGGCGGCGGCAGGGGGGGGGGGGGGGGGGGGGGGGGGGGGGGGGGGGGGGGGGGGGGGGGGGGGGGGGGGGGGGGGGGGGGGGGGGGGGGGGGGGGGGGGGGGGGGGGGGGGGGGGGGGGGGGGGGGGGGGGGGGGGGGGGGGGGGGGGGGGGGGGGGGGGGGGGGGGGGGGGGGGGGGGGGGGGGGGGGGGGGGGGGGGGGGGGGGGGGGGGGGGGGGGGGGGGGGGGGGGGGGGGGGGGGGGGGGGGGGGGGGGGGGGGGGGGGGGGGGGGGGGGGCGCCGGAGCGCGGCCAGCGCCCCCCGGCUCUGCCCGUCGGGGCCGGCCUCCUGGAGGGCUACAUCAGCGUCCUGGAGCACAAGGUGAGCGCCGGCCGCGGGACCCCCUCCCGGCCCCCGGGGCAGCCGGGACCCCGCGCUGCCCCCGCUCCCUCGGGGGGCAGCGAUCC